Molecule: transfer RNA, 75 nt
Filed under: bacterium
Lineage: Bacteria
Description: tRNA-Ile
Rfam family: tRNA
About the family: Transfer RNA (tRNA) molecules are approximately 80 nucleotides in length. Their secondary structure includes four short double-helical elements and three loops (D, anti-codon, and T loops). Further hydrogen bonds mediate the characteristic L-shaped molecular structure. tRNAs have two regions of fundamental functional importance: the anti-codon, which is responsible for specific mRNA codon recognition, and the 3' end, to which the tRNAs corresponding amino acid is attached (by aminoacyl-tRNA synthetases). tRNAs cope with the degeneracy of the genetic code in two manners: having more than one tRNA (with a specific anti-codon) for a particular amino acid; and 'wobble' base-pairing, i.e. permitting non-standard base-pairing at the 3rd anti-codon position.
Source: RNAcentral
GCGCGCGUAGUUCAGUGGUAGAACGCGUAACUGAUAAUUACGAGGUCGAAGGUUCGAUCCCUUCCGCGCGCACCA